Molecule: ribosomal RNA, 232 nt
Filed under: uncultured bacterium
Lineage: Bacteria
Description: partial 16S ribosomal RNA
Rfam family: Bacterial small subunit ribosomal RNA
Source: RNAcentral
UGAGCAAUCUGCCCCGACCCUGGGAUAACCCCGGGGAAACCGGAGCUAAUACCGGAUACUCUCCUCUGACCACCUGGUCGGAUGAGGAAAGGUCCGCCGGUCGGGGAUGGGCCCGCGGCCUAUCAGCUUGUUGGUGGGGUAACGGCCUACCAAGGCAUCGACGGGUAGCUAGUCUGAGAGGACGACCAGCCACACUGGGACUGAGACACGGCCCAGACUCCUACGGGAGGCA